RNAcentral lists this unclassified non-coding RNA (391 nucleotides) under soil metagenome. RNAcentral describes it as "partial contains 5.8S ribosomal RNA, internal transcribed spacer 2, and large subunit ribosomal RNA". The stretch from base 1 to 122 matches the Rfam family "5.8S ribosomal RNA", at positions 35 to 154 of the family's 154-position model. The record is from RNAcentral.
GAUGAAGAACGUAGCGAAAUGCGAUACUUGGUGUGAAUUGCAGAAUCCCGUGAACCAUCGAGUCUUUGAACGCAAGUUGCGCCCGAAGCCAUUAGGCCGAGGGCACGCCUGCCUGGGCGUCACACGUCGUUGCCCCCCCAUCUACUCCUUCGGGAUUGCGGGGGGCGGAUGAUGGCCUCUCGUGCGCCUCGUCGCGCGGUUGGCCUAAAUGCCAAGUCCUCGGCGACGCACGCCACGACAAUCGGUGGUUGCGAAACCUCGGUUGCCUGUCGUGUGCGGUAGUCGCGCAUCGAGGGCUCGAAAAAAUUGCCGGGCUUCGGCUCGACUUUCAACGCGACCCCAGGUCAGGCGGGGUUACCCGCUGAAUUUAAGCAUAUCAAUAAGCGGAGGA